RNAcentral lists this ribosomal RNA (253 nucleotides) under uncultured bacterium. Its description in RNAcentral is "partial 16S ribosomal RNA". It matches the Rfam family "Bacterial small subunit ribosomal RNA", at positions 524 to 776 of the family's 1533-position model. The record is from RNAcentral.
UACAGAGGGUGCAAACGCUGUUCGGAAUUACUGGGCGUAAAGCGCGUGUAGGCGGCUAAGUAAGUCGGGCGUGAAAUCCCACGGCUCAACCGUGGAAGUGCACUCGAAACUGCAUAGCUAGAGUCCUGGAGAGGAAGGUGGAAUGCUUGGUGUAGAGGUGAAAUUCGUAGAUAUCAAGCGGAACACCGGUGGCGAAGGCGGCCUUCUGGACAGUGACUGACGCUGAGACGCGAAAGCGUGGGGAGCAAACAGG